This is a long non-coding RNA of Falco peregrinus (peregrine falcon), 416 nucleotides long. RefSeq lists it as uncharacterized. The transcript is spliced from 3 exons. Lineage: Eukaryota; Metazoa; Chordata; Aves; Falconiformes; Falconidae. The record is from RefSeq and is a predicted model, not a curated record.
UGUCCUGCCCAGCCUGCCAUUUUACCACAACAUCUGGCUUUCCUCAGCUAUGUGGCAGAGUAACCUAGCUCAUUCUGUCAGCGGGCCUUUAUCAGUAGCAUGUUCUGCAUUAAUUCCAGCUCCUUCACAGUGCCUGUGACUGCGGUCAUGCAGCCUGCUGGUGGAGUUCUUGCCAGCUUCCUUUAGUCAUGCAGCCUGUCCCUCCGUCUGCACUGUUGGUGCCACCUCAGCCGCAUCCCCCAGGAAAAGGUGGUAGCCAUCCUGGAUCUCUAUAAGGAUAAAAGAGCUUUUAGAAUUGACCUGAUUUCCACAAGUGCAAGGCAACGACAGACGCUGUCUUCUACAUUGGGCUCUCAGGUUAUGGCGCAUUUCUGAGAACCAAGCCAUUUGCUGCUACUUCUGCACUUCUGAAACUA